GGACAAGGAGAGAGUGCGGCUGCUGAGAGCCGAGCCCAGCAAUCCCGAUCCUCUGAGUCGUGAAGAAGGGAGGCAGCGAGGGGGUUGGGGUUGGGGCCUGAGGCAAGCCCCCAGGCUCCGCUCUUGCCAGAGGGACAGGAGCCAUGGCUCAGAAAAUGGACUGUGGUGCGGGCCUCCUCGGCUUCCAGGCUGAGGCCUCCGUAGAAGACAGCGCCUUGCUUAUGCAGACCUUGAUGGAGGCCAUCCAGAUCUCAGAGGCUCCACCUACUAACCAGGCCACCACAGCUGCUAGUCCCCAGAGUUCACAGCCCCCAACUGCCAAUGAGAUGGCUGACAUUCAGGUUUCAGCAGCUGCCGCUAGGCCUAAGUCAGCCUUUAAAGUCCAGAAUGCCACCACAAAAGGCCCAAAUGGUGUCUAUGAUUUCUCUCAGGCUCAUAAUGCCAAGGAUGUGCCCAACACGCAGCCCAAGGCAGCCUUUAAGUCCCAAAAUGCUACCCCAAAGGGUCCAAAUGCUGCCUAUGAUUUUUCCCAGGCAGCAACCACUGGUGAGUUAGCUGCUAACAAGUCUGAGAUGGCCUUCAAGGCCCAGAAUGCCACUACUAAAGUGGGCCCAAAUGCCACCUACAAUUUCUCUCAGUCUCUCAAUGCCAAUGACCUGGCCAACAGCAGGCCUAAGACCCCUUUCAAGGCUUGGAAUGAUACCACUAAGGCCCCAACAGCUGAUACCCAGACCCAGAAUGUAAAUCAGGCCAAAAUGUCCACUUCCCAGGCUGACAUAGAGACCGACCCAGGUAUCUCUGAACCUGACGGUGCAACUGCACAGACAUCAGCAGAUGGUUCCCAGGCUCAGAAUCUGGAGUCCCGGACAAUAAUUCGGGGCAAGAGGACCCGCAAGAUUAAUAACUUGAAUGUUGAAGAGAACAGCAGUGGGGAUCAGAGGCGGGCCCCACUGGCUGCAGGGACCUGGAGGUCUGCACCAGUUCCAGUGACCACUCAGAACCCACCUGGCGCACCCCCCAAUGUGCUCUGGCAGACGCCAUUGGCUUGGCAGAACCCCUCAGGCUGGCAAAACCAGACAGCCAGGCAGACCCCACCAGCACGUCAGAGCCCUCCAGCUAGGCAGACCCCACCAGCCUGGCAGAACCCAGUCGCUUGGCAGAACCCAGUGAUUUGGCCAAACCCAGUAAUCUGGCAGAACCCAGUGAUCUGGCCAAACCCCAUUGUCUGGCCCGGCCCUGUUGUCUGGCCGAAUCCACUGGCCUGGCAGAAUCCACCUGGAUGGCAGACCCCACCUGGAUGGCAGACCCCACCGGGCUGGCAGGGUCCUCCAGACUGGCAAGGUCCUCCUGACUGGCCGCUACCACCCGACUGGCCACUGCCACCUGAUUGGCCACUUCCCACUGACUGGCCACUACCACCUGACUGGAUCCCCGCUGAUUGGCCAAUUCCACCUGACUGGCAGAACCUGCGCCCCUCGCCUAACCUGCGCCCUUCUCCCAACUCGCGUGCCUCACAGAACCCGGGUGCUGCACAGCCCCGAGAUGUGGCCCUUCUUCAGGAAAGAGUAAGAGCUGUAACUCCCCAGUCACUUUUCCCCUCUCUUGCUCUUUUCUUUGUCAUCCUCUCAUCUGUAAUUCAACCAAGUUUUUUUGUAAAUAUUGUAUAAGUUUAAUGAUUUCCUUUUUCCCUCCCAGGCAAAUAAGUUGGUCAAGUACUUGAUGCUUAAGGACUACACAAAGGUGCCCAUCAAGCGCUCAGGUAUGCAUCCAGUGUCCCCUCCCCAAGCUCUGCCCUUCCCUUCACUCCAUGCUCUGUCGGCAUUCUUCUGCUUGUAUGACCCUUCCCCUUCUAUCCCCUCCUUUCCAUGGUUGGCUCUUUCCACCCUUGAGGACCUUGACUGUGCUACCCCCAGCAGGGCUGGCAAAGGGACUGCUGCUCUGUGGCCCCCGCUCGGCUCAGAUGGCUCCCUCCUCUCUCCUACAGAAAUGCUGAGAGAUAUCAUCCGUGAAUACACUGAUGUUUAUCCAGAAAUCAUUGAACGUGCAUGCUUUGUCCUAGAGAAGAAAUUUGGGAUUCAGCUGAAAGAAAUUGACAAAGAAGAACACCUGUAUAUUCUCAUCAGUACCCCCGAGUCCCUGGCUGGCAUACUGGGAACGUAAGAUGGGAAAGAAGGUGGAACAUGGCCUUUCUCAGUGGUGCUUUUUUUCUAGGAGUUUCACGUAGAUCAGGGUCCAGGGUUCAGGGUCACAUAGCAGGUCAUGGGCAGAGCUGGGGUAUAAUUCUCCCCUAGCUGAGGAAUAUUGGGGAGGCUAGAUGGGCAAGCUGGUUGGGGUCUCUCGUGCAAAUGGCUGCUGAAAAUAUAUUCUUUCUAUAUUCCCUUAGGACCAAAGACACACCCAAGCUCGGUCUCCUCUUGGUGAUUCUGGGUGUCAUCUUCAUGAAUGGCAACCGUGCCAGUGAGGGUGAGUGGCUGGACCUGCAGCUGGGGAUUGGCCACAGCCUGAUUUCCAUGCUUAUUUUCCGUCCCUUGUCUCCCCUUGCCUCCCAUUGCAGCUGUCCUCUGGGAGGCACUACGCAAGAUGGGACUGCGUCCUGGGUAUGAUUGGGCUCUCUCAUCUCUUGCCUGUUUGUACCAUCCUUUGGCAACAGUGGAUGGUCCCAGGAUUGCAUUAACCUGGGGGUCUGGAGGGUUUGGUUUGGGGAUGUUCAGAGCCCAAAGAUGUGACCUGGGUGGAUGGGGAAACAGUUCUGAACUCUCUGCCUCUUUUCUCAUCUCUGACCUCUGUUCUGGAAAGCUCUUUGGGCAUGGUAAUAGCCUCUGAUUGUGGGUUUCCUUUUUUUACCUUCAGGGUGAGACAUCCCCUCCUUGGAGAUCUAAGGAAACUUCUCACCUAUGAGUUUGUAAAGCAGAAGUAAGUGAUGCCUAAGGGGCUUUUCCUGCUUCUUAUGAUUCUGCCUGUGUGCUGGUCAGCUUUAGAAAGCCCUUCCUGGCUGGAUACAAUGGCUCAUGCCUGUAAUCCCAGUACUUUGGGAGGCUCAGGUGGGCAGAUCGCUUGAGCCCAGGAGUUCAAGACCAGCCUGGGCAACAUAACGAAACCCCAUCUCUACAAAAAAAUACAAAAAUUAGCCAGGCGUGGUGACAUGCACCUGUAGUCCCAGCUACUUGGGAGGCUGAGGUAGGGGAGAAUCAUCUGAGCCCAGGAAGUUGAGGCUGCAGUGAGCUGUGAUCAUGCCACUGCACUCCAACCUGGGCAACAGAGUGAGACCCUGUCUCAAAAAAAAUAAAAGAAAGCCCUUCUCAAGCUCGUUUCUUACACUAUACUUGUGCAUAUGUGUUUCUGUGCAUACAGAAACACUUAUGUCCUCAGGAGUAUUUAUUGCAUAUACUCCUCAUGAUUAAAUUCUUUAUUUUUUAUUUUUUUAUUUUUUGAGACGGAGUUUCGCUCUUGUUGCCCAGGCUGGAGUGCAAUGGCGUGAUCUCGGCUCACCGCAACCUCUGCCUCCUGGGUUCAAGCUAUUCUCCUGCCUCAGCCUCUUGAGUAGCUGGGAUUACAGGCAUGUGCCACCACGCCCACCUAAUUUUGUCUUCUUAGUAGAGACGGUGUUUCUCCAUGUUAGGCUGGUCUCAAACUCCCGACUUCAGGUGAUCUGCCUGCCUUGGCCUCCAGAAGUGCUGAGAUUACAGGCGUGAGCCACCGUACCGGGCGAAUUCUUUUGUUUGUUUUUUUCGAGACUGAGUCUCACUCUGUUGCCCAUGCUGGAGUGCAGUGGUGCAAUCUUGGCUCGCUUGAACUUCCACCUCCCAGGUUCAAGCAAUUCUUGUGCCUCAGCCUCCCGAGUAACUGGGACUUCAGGUGCGUGCCACCGUGCCCGGCUGUUUUUGUAUUUUUAGUAGAGAUGGGGCUUCACCACGUUGGCCAGGCUGGUCUCAAACUCCUGACCUGAAGCAAUCCACCCACCUCUGCCUCCCAAAGUGCUGGGAUUACAGGUGUGAGCCACCACACCCGGCCAGAAUUUUUCUAAUUUUUCUACUUUUCUAAGCAGUUGUCUUGCAAGUGAAGCCCAUCCACCAUCCCCACAGUAGACAUUCCCAAGGCUGGGCCAGGCUGACACUUUUGCACUGCAUUGUACUCAUUUCAGUGGACCUCUGUGGCUCACUGACAAGAUUACAAGAAUCUGGAGCUAGAGCUGAGGCAGAAGGAGUGAAAGGAAAUGUUGUCCUUUCUGUGACCCUAUACAAGCCUCGCCUGCAUCUCUAGUGAGUGCUUAGCGUUCUAGUGCAGGAAUUUAAGGCUUGAUGAUUAAGGGGUAAAUACCCUGAUGGUGUUCAGGAAUGAGCCCGAGGAGGAGUUGCUAUCUGAAAUCUGUUGUUAAAAAAUGUAAGAUUAUUUUUCAUUAGUGGACUACCAUUCUGCCUGGGUAGGUAGACACAAAGACUGUUUUGCUCUUUCAGAUACCUGGACUACAGACGAGUGCCCAACAGCAACCCCCCGGAGUAUGAGUUCCUCUGGGGCCUCCGUUCCUACCAUGAGACUAGCAAGAUGAAAGUGCUGAGAUUCAUUGCAGAGGUUCAGAAAAGAGACCCUCGUGACUGGACUGCACAGUUCAUGGAGGCUGCAGAUGAGGCCUUGGAUGCUCUGGAUGCUGCUGCAGCUGAGGCCGAAGCCCGGGCUGAAGCAAGAACCCGCAUGGGAAUUGGAGAUGAGGCUGUGUCUGGGCCCUGGAGCUGGGAUGACAUUGAGUUUGAGCUGCUGACCUGGGAUGAGGAAGGAGAUUUUGGAGAUCCCUGGUCCAGAAUUCCAUUUACCUUCUGGGCCAGAUACCACCAGAAUGCCCGCUCCAGAUUCCCUCAGACCUUUGCCGGUCCCAUUAUUGGUCCUGGUGGUACAGCCAGUGCCAACUUCGCUGCCAACUUUGGUGCCAUUGGUUUCUUCUGGGUUGAGUGAGAUGUUGGGUAGGUACAUCACUUUGGAUUGGGCAAUUAGGGUCUCUGGGGGAUAUAGGGUCCAUGGGGUUGUAUUUAUGUGCAUGAGCUAGAAGUAUUAGGAAACUCAUUGUAGGGAGAUGAGGAAAGUAUGGGGCAGCACUCUUUGGUAUGUAUAUUCCUUAUUAUUUGAUAUAUAUCAUUGAUUUUUUUACUUCUUCUUUCUUAUGUUCACAGAUAUUGCUAUCAAUCGCAGUAGUCUUUCCCCUGUGUGAGGCUGAAGCCUCAGAUUCCUUCUAAACACAGCUAUCUAGAGAGCCACAUCCUGUUGACUGAAAGUGGCAUGCAAGAUAAAUUUAUUUGCUGUUCCUUGUCUACUGCUUUUUUUCCCCUUGUGUGCUGUCAAGUUUUGGUAUCAGAAAUAAACAUUGAAAUUGCAAAGUGAA
RNAcentral lists this small RNA (5371 nucleotides) under Pan troglodytes (chimpanzee). RNAcentral's name for it is "processed transcript". Lineage: Eukaryota; Metazoa; Chordata; Mammalia; Primates; Hominidae. The record is from RNAcentral.